GUCUAUGGCCAUCCCACCCUGAAUGUGUCCGAUCUCGUCUGAUCUCGGAAGCUAAGCAGGGUCGGGCCUGGUUAGUACUUGGAUGGGAGACCACCUAGGAAGACUAAGUGCUGUAGGCA
This 119-nucleotide ribosomal RNA is filed under the name Pteropus alecto (black flying fox). Lineage: Eukaryota; Metazoa; Chordata; Mammalia; Chiroptera; Pteropodidae. The record is from RNAcentral.